UUGAGCUCAGUGGGUGAGGCAGUCCCGUUCAGUGCCUUCAUUUGAAACUAGUGAUACCGACAGUAGGAGCCACCACAGCUUGACAGACUGCAACCGAAACUCUAUCAAAGGGGUGCAAGCAAAGAGAGAGAGAAACACCACGAGAAUCUUUGUGGACGAGGCAUGUGAGGUAGUCGCUGAGGUCUGUGAGGAUUGGUUCCCGCCCUCCUCCUCUCCCCCCUUCAGGUUUAAAGGCAAAUAUCAAGCCUUCUCCUCUUCCCUCCACCUACCCUCGGGAAAUCGGCAAGGACCACCUCACCAUUUUUUGGGUACGUCAGGCUCCCCUUAGGACGCCCGGCACGACCAUACCUCCGGCCGCCCAAGUUUUACAAUGAAGGAACAUCUGGCCGGAUUCAUAUCGAGACUCACCCUUCUCGGCUUACACUCGCACUCGUAUUCUUUAACACUGCUCUCUCACGGGGACUGUUCUCAAAAGCCGCGCAGAUGAUUAACCAGGCUGUCACGAGUGUUUCCUAUUGAUAAUGCAGAAUCCUUAUUAAAUUACCACUAGAUUCAUGAAAGCACGCUUGGAAACACUAUUCUCUACUAAAACCUACCGAAAGUAAUGGAGAUAGUGCACUAAAACGCUUGAUGACACGAUUUCUUAAAGGGAAAAUAUAUAAGAGAAGAGGAGGAGUAUUCUCAAAGGCUGUCACAAGUGUUUCCUGUUAAUAAUGCGCAGUCCUUAUUAAAUAACCAUUAGAUUCGUGAUAGCACACUUGGAAAACAUUAAUACCCUGCACUCUAAUCUAUCUGAGGAAGAAAGGACAGUAAUAUGCAGUUCUUAAAAUAAAGAUCUAGGUAGUUAUUCUCAUUUCUCACCCUCUCUCCUAAUUUAACCCGUACUCUCGCCCCCGGAUA
This is a long non-coding RNA of Scylla paramamosain (green mud crab), 900 nucleotides long. RefSeq lists it as uncharacterized. Lineage: Eukaryota; Metazoa; Arthropoda; Malacostraca; Decapoda; Portunidae. The record is from RefSeq and is a predicted model, not a curated record. The transcript is spliced from 3 exons.